Molecule: long non-coding RNA, 177 nt
Organism: Capsicum annuum
Lineage: Eukaryota; Viridiplantae; Streptophyta; Magnoliopsida; Solanales; Solanaceae
Exons: 3
Source: RefSeq, a predicted model, not a curated record
GACGGAGAGCGAGAAUAAUAGGGUUUUGAUAUCUCUGUACACAUAGGAAUAAACUGAGUUGUGCAAAUUAGCAAUUGAUGAUUUCAAUUCUAAGAAUGAUGAUAAGAUGUAUAUGUUCGAGGAAAUUGUGAACGUAAAUGCAUCAUAUGUCACUACUACUGGGACGUGGUAUUAUUU